CAGCCGCCGCGGUAAUACCGGCCCCGCGAGUGGUCGGGGUGAUUAUUGGGCUUAAAGCGUCCGUAGCCGGGUUGGGAAGUCCUCCGGGAAAUCUGGCCGCUUAACGGUCAGAAUGCCGGAGGAUACUCCCAGCCUAGGGAGCGGGAGAGGCCGAGGGUAUUCCCGGAGUAGGGGUGAAAUCCUAUAAUCCCGGGAGGACCACCUGUGGCGAAGGCGCUCGGCUGGAACGCGUCCGACGGUGAGGGACGAAGGCCAGGGGAGCAAACCGGAUUAGAUACCCGGGUAGUCCUGGCUGUAAACGAUGCGGACUUUGUGUCGGACAAGCUAUGAGCUUGUCCGGUGCCGGAGGGAAACCGUUAAGUCCGCCGCCUGGGGAGUACGGCCGCAAGGCUGAAACUUAAAGGAAUUGGCGGG
Molecule: ribosomal RNA, 414 nt
Filed under: uncultured microorganism
Description: bacterial SSU rRNA
Rfam family: Archaeal small subunit ribosomal RNA
Source: RNAcentral